AGUAGCUCAAUAGUAGAGCGGUCGGCUAUUAACUGAUUGGUCGUAGGUCUGAAUUCUACUU
This 61-nucleotide transfer RNA is filed under the name Brassica napus (rape). It matches the Rfam family "tRNA", at positions 6 to 65 of the family's 71-position model. From Rfam's summary of the family: Transfer RNA (tRNA) molecules are approximately 80 nucleotides in length. Lineage: Eukaryota; Viridiplantae; Streptophyta; Magnoliopsida; Brassicales; Brassicaceae. The record is from Rfam by way of RNAcentral.